This 253-nucleotide ribosomal RNA is filed under the name uncultured bacterium. RNAcentral's name for it is "partial 16S ribosomal RNA". It matches the Rfam family "Bacterial small subunit ribosomal RNA", at positions 524 to 776 of the family's 1533-position model. The record is from RNAcentral.
GACAGAGGUCUCGAGCGUUAGGCGGAAUCACUGGGCUUAAAGCGUGUGUAGGUGGAUGUCUAAGUACCUUGUGAAAUCCCACGGCUUAACCGUGGAAUUGCUUGGUAUACUGGAUGUCUUGAGCCAGCUAGGGGCAACCGGAACAAAUGGUGGAGCGGUGAAAUGCGUAGAUAUCAUUUGGAACGCCAAUGGUGAAAACAGGUUGCUGGGGCUGUGCUGACACUGAGACACGAAAGCCAGGGGAGCAAACGGG